UGCUAGAUCUGCUAUAGUGCGAGAUCUCAUUUGAUAUAAUAGUUUGAUGUUCUUGGUUGUACAUGCAUAAUCUUGUAGAGUUCUAUAGGUGCCCUCAGUUAAUCUAUUUUCUCACUUUCUCAUAGUUUUGUGUAUAAACUGAAUCUUCACAAACGAAAUAAACGGAUGAGAUUCUUAGGUGCUGUUUUGAUGUGGAAACUGGUCUUCAAAUUAAUAUUACGUUAUUAGUGCUAUUGACGGGAUUUGCGAGAGCCCAACAUCAAUCAAUUGAUUAGUGUUUGGUAAUGCAAAAAUUUAUGUAUUGACUUGUGGUUGUGAAUUUUGAAAAUUUAGAGUUAUUUUCUUUGUAUUGCUCUUCGCUGGCUAAUGAAAGCAGUUAAGGAUUUGGGCACCAAAAUUCAUAGUCUGUAAUGUAUCUAUGUUGCAGACUGUACGAGCAUGGUGCAAUAUUGAAGUUAUCUCUUUGCUUGUUCAUAGCUACUCCUCAUGUAUUGUCAUUCAACCAUUGAGGAAGGUCUAGCGAGAGAACAUGUUGCCUUAGUGCUAAUCAGUGUUCUUGAUCUGAUAGGGUACUUAUUGAUUAGUAACUUAUGACUGAAAGUGUUAUUGGCUUGUUUUAUGAAACCAUCUAAAGCCAUCAUUGUCUUAGGCUUAUGGUAUUACACUAUUACAAAGAUAUAUAUUGUCUAUCUAUGUUAGUGUAGCAUGACAUAAACUAAACUACUUGAUGAUAAUGCAGAUCAUAAAUUAGAAACAGAACAACUGUUUGUUACAAAAUGUGAUUGAAGAAUAAGUAAAGUAAACAAUGUGUUAAGUGGAUCUCCCUCUUCCUUUUCUCCGGGCUUGGGACCGGCUGUGCAAAUGACAAAAUAACAAGCAUUACACAGGCGGAGUUAAGAUUUUUGUUGAGCCAAACAUGUUUUUGGCUUUUUUAUUUAGGUGCUUUGGUUUCUGGAGAUGGUAUAACCUACAUAGUAAAAUGGAUAUCUCAUCUAGUUAAG
This 1001-nucleotide long non-coding RNA is filed under the name Rosa chinensis. RNAcentral's name for it is "sRNA RchiOBHm_Chr4g0436971". Lineage: Eukaryota; Viridiplantae; Streptophyta; Magnoliopsida; Rosales; Rosaceae. The record is from RNAcentral.